Molecule: ribosomal RNA, 490 nt
Filed under: uncultured bacterium
Lineage: Bacteria
Description: bacterial SSU rRNA
Rfam family: Bacterial small subunit ribosomal RNA
Source: RNAcentral
CUACGUGCCAGCAGCCGCGGUAAUACGGAAGGUCCAGGCGUUAUCCGGAUUUAUUGGGUUUAAAGGGAGCGUAGGCUGGAGAUUAAGUGUGUUGUGAAAUGUAGACGCUCAACGUCUGAAUUGCAGCGCAUACUGGUUUCCUUGAGUACGCACAACGUUGGCGGAAUUCGUCGUGUAGCGGUGAAAUGCUUAGAUAUGACGAAGAACUCCGAUUGCGAAGGCAGCUGACGGGAGCGCAACUGACGCUGAAGCUCGAAGGUGCGGGUAUCGAACAGGAUUAGAUACCCUGGUAGUCCACGCCGUAAACGAUGAGUGCUAGGUGUUAGACCCUUUCCGGGGUUUAGUGCCGUAGCUAACGCAUUAAGCACUCCGCCUGGGGAGUACGACCGCAAGGUUGAAACUCAAAGGAAUUGACGGGGGCCCGCACAAGCGGUGGAGCAUGUGGUUUAAUUCGAAGCAACGCGAAGAACCUUACCAGGUCUUGACAUCC